GCGCAUCAAUGAGUUGAAAAGUGCCCAAAGAAAAGAAAUUGAGCAUUUGUUAAAAAUUGGAGAACGAGAGUCCGGAAGUGGUGCUAAUCAGAUUGGUAAUUUGCAACGAGCCGGAAGUACUCGUUGGUCUUCUCAUUACAGCUCUGUAAAGAGUUUGAUUGAUAUGUAUGCUGCAACUUGCAAGGUGCUUGAGUAUCUUAGUGAUCAUUCUCCAAGUACAAGAUCUCGAUCCGAGGUUGGUGGUGUAUACAAAACCAUAACAACAUUUGAAUUUGUGUUUAUCUUGCAUUUAAUGCGUAGAAUAUUAGCAAUUGCGGAUGUUCUUUGUCAGUCCCUCCAAAAGAAAACUCAAGACAUCUUAACUGCUAUGAGAUUUGUCCGUACUACAAAAACUAUCCUUCAAGCAUUGAGAGAAGAUGGCUGGGAAGAAUUUCUUGAAGAAGUGAAGUGUUUUUGCUCAAAAAAUGAUAUACAUGUACCUGACUUUGAUGGUUCGUAUAUGGUUGGUCGUUCUCGUGGUCGUGAGUAUCCUACCAUUGAACAUCAUUACCACUUUGAUAUUUUCAAUGCAGCUAUUGACUUUCAGAUGAUGGAGUUAGAUACAAGAUUUAAUGAGACAUCAAUAGAGCUCCUUUCUCUCAGUACAGCUUUGGAUCCAAAAAAUUCUUUUGAAUCAUUUAAUAUGGAUAAUAUUUGCAAGCUUGCAGAGAAGUUUUAUCCUGAAGAUUUUAAACAGCAAGAUAUUUAUUGUUUGAAAGUUGAGUUGCAACACUAUCAAAAUGAUGUGAUUUCUGAACCUCGAUUUCAAGUACCUACACUUUCUGAUUUAUGUCGGGAAUUAGUUGCAAGCAGAAAGUCGGAGAGUUACGUCAUUUUGACUAAAUUGAUUUGUUUAGUACUGACACUACCUGUUUCAACGACGACUGUGGAGCGAGCUUUUUCAGCAAUGAAACAUGUGAAAACGGAAAUUCGUAACAAAAUGGAUGAUGGCUUUCUUGCUGAUUGUUUAACACUCAACAUUGAACGAGAAUUUAGUAUGAAUUUAGAUCUAGAUUCUAUUAUAGAUGAAUUUUAUGCUGUAAAACAUCGUCGAGUACAACUUCAAUAGGUAACUUAUAUUAUAAAUUUUUCUUAUUAUAUAUAAAUUUUAUUCGUACAUUAAAUUUUUUAAAUUUUUAGCCCAUCGUAACAGUAAUUUCUGGCUCCGCCCCUGACAAU
RNAcentral lists this long non-coding RNA (1218 nucleotides) under Olea europaea subsp. europaea. Lineage: Eukaryota; Viridiplantae; Streptophyta; Magnoliopsida; Lamiales; Oleaceae. The record is from RNAcentral.